CCUACGGGAGGCAGCAGUGAGGAAUAUUGGUCAAUGGACGAGAGUCUGAACCAGCCAAGUAGCGUGAAGGACGAAGGUGCCAAGCAUUGUAAACUUCUUUUGUCAAGGGACAAAAUCAGGCUCGAGAGCCUGACCGAGGGUACUUGAAGAAAAAGCAUCGGCUAACUCCGUGCCAGCAGCCGCGGUAAUACCGAGGAUGCGAGCGUUAUCCGGAUUUAUUGGGUUUAAAGGGUGCGUAGGCGGGCUGUUAAGUCAGCGGUAAAAGCCCGGGGCUCAACCCCGGCGAGCCGUUGAAACUGGCGGUCUUGAGAUGUCGAGAGGUAGGCGGAAUGCGCGGUGUAGCGGUGAAAUGCUUAGAUAUUGCGCAGAACUCCGAUUGCGAAGGCAGCAUACCGGCGGCGAUCUGACGCUGAGGCACGAAAGCGUGGGUAUCGAACAGGAUUAGAUACCCUUGUAGUC
This 459-nucleotide ribosomal RNA is filed under the name uncultured bacterium. RNAcentral's name for it is "partial 16S ribosomal RNA". It matches the Rfam family "Bacterial small subunit ribosomal RNA", at positions 338 to 795 of the family's 1533-position model. The record is from RNAcentral.